This 501-nucleotide ribosomal RNA is filed under the name uncultured bacterium. Its description in RNAcentral is "bacterial SSU rRNA". It matches the Rfam family "Bacterial small subunit ribosomal RNA", at positions 30 to 533 of the family's 1533-position model. The record is from RNAcentral.
AUUGAACGCUGGCGGCAUGCCUAACACAUGCAAGUCGAACGGGGGUAGCAAUACCCCAGUGGCGGACGGGUGAGUAAUACGUAGGAAUCUGCCCUUGAGUGGGGGAUAGCCCGGGGAAACCCGGAUUAAUACCGCAUGAUCUCUUCGGAGCAAAGUGGGGGACCGCAAGGCCUCACGCUCUUGGAGGAGCCUACGUCGGAUUAGCUAGUUGGUGGGGUAAAGGCCUACCAAGGCGACGAUCCGUAACUGGUCUGAGAGGAUGAUCAGUCACACCGGAACUGAGACACGGUCCGGACUCCUACGGGAGGCAGCAGUGGGGAAUAUUGGACAAUGGGCGAAAGCCUGAUCCAGCAAUGCCGCGUGUGUGAAGAAGGCCUUCGGGUUGUAAAGCACUUUAGGUCGGAAAGAAAAGCUUUAGGUGAAUAUCCAAAGCCUUGACGGUACCGACAGAAUAAGCACCGGCUAACUCUGUGCCAGCAGCCGCGGUAAGCGAUACUCGUA